UAACAAUGAAGAGUUUGAUCCUGGCUCAGGAUGAACGCUAGCGGCAGGCCUAAUACAUGCAAGUCGAGGGGUAACAGGAAGUGCUUGCACUUCGCUGACGACCGGCGUACGGGUGAGUAUCGCGUAUACAAUCUGCCUCAUACUAGGGAAUAGCCCGAAGAAAUUUGGAUUAAUGCCCUAUAGUAUCUUUUUAAGGCAUCUUAUUAAGAUUAAAGUUUUCGGUAUGAGAUGAGUAUGCGUUCUAUUAGCUAGUAGGUGUGGUAACGGCACACCUAGGCUACGAUAGAUAGGGGCCCUGAGAGGGGGAUCCCCCACACUGGUACUGAGACACGGACCAGACUCCUACGGGAGGCAGCAGUGAGGAAUAU
This 368-nucleotide ribosomal RNA is filed under the name Flavobacteriaceae bacterium. RNAcentral's name for it is "bacterial SSU rRNA". It matches the Rfam family "Bacterial small subunit ribosomal RNA", at positions 1 to 364 of the family's 1533-position model. The record is from RNAcentral. RNAcentral also lists the same sequence under 1 other name. Lineage: Bacteria; Pseudomonadati; Bacteroidota; Flavobacteriia; Flavobacteriales; Flavobacteriaceae.